GUAUUUACUACAGCAUUAGGUUGUUGUCUUUAAAGAAAACUUAGGUCUGAACUAGUUUGGAUGAAGCCGUCCAAACUAUCUGAUGCAGCGCAAUAUCCACAUGACACAUUGAUGCAGGACAGAAGCUGGAAGCAGGGGCGGAUCCAUUCACAGACUAGGCAAGCCCGUCUGAGAUUUUGAAGCCCCAAAAAAAAAAAAUAGAUGUAUGGGUUUUUUUUUUUUUUUUUUUUUUUUUUUUUUUUUUUUUUUUAAUAGGGGUUUGUGUUUGUCGAGACAAAGCCCAGUCCCCUGAGUCACUCUCUGUCUCUCUCGGUCUCAUCGAGACAUCGCUAUUCGCUACGACGCAGUCGACGACUCGAGUCACUCGACGCUACGGAGACCGGAGUCUCACUCAUCGAGACUAGGGCACUAGGCGACGGCCGACAAACUCUCACUCAGUCACUCUAUCCGGACUCCGGCUACCGACGAUGAGUCAUCGAGAAUAGGCGACGGACUCUCACUCAGUCACUCUCUCCCACUUCCUCCUCCUCUCGCUGCCUGCGGCUCAGCCGGCUCUCCCGACUCCUAGUCCACUCAUCGACUACGGAUCUACGAUUCUACGGCCUAUUCGAAGUUUCACCACUAGACUUCGUCGUCUCCAUUCUCCAACUCUCCAUCUCCGACUACACGUCUACACCAGGAUGGAAGUACCUCUUGUAUUGCAUUGCACGUUUAUUUGUUGUUGAUUUUGCUUUUUAGUUUUGUAUAGAUAUACAUUUGAGGGGUAAGGCUCACUACGUCCCCCCUGACUAGGUGUACAUUUUUUUUUAAAUUAAUAAAAUUCUCUCACACCGUUGAGAUUC
This is a long non-coding RNA of Rosa rugosa (rugosa rose), 842 nucleotides long. RefSeq lists it as uncharacterized. The record is from RefSeq and is a predicted model, not a curated record. Lineage: Eukaryota; Viridiplantae; Streptophyta; Magnoliopsida; Rosales; Rosaceae. The transcript has 2 exons.